GACGGAGGAUGCAAGCGUUAUCCGGAAUGAUUGGGCGUAAAGCGUCCGCAGGUGGCAGUUCAAGUCUGCUGUCAAAGACCGGGGCUUAACUUCGGAAAGGCAGUGGAAACUGAACAGCUAGAGUAUGGUAGGGGCAGAGGGAAUUCCCGGUGUAGUGGUGAAAUGCGUAGAUAUCGGGAGGAACACCAGUGGCGAAGGCGGCUUCCUGGCCUGUUCUUGACGCUGAGGCGCGAAAGCUAGGGGAGCAAACGGG
This 253-nucleotide ribosomal RNA is filed under the name uncultured bacterium. Its description in RNAcentral is "partial 16S ribosomal RNA". It matches the Rfam family "Bacterial small subunit ribosomal RNA", at positions 524 to 776 of the family's 1533-position model. The record is from RNAcentral.